GACGAACGCUGGCGGCGUGCUUAACACAUGCAAGUCGAACGGUGAAGCGCCUUCCUUUUUGGUGGGUGUGGAUGAGUGGCGAACGGGUGAGUAACACGUGAGUAACCUGCCCCCUUCUUCUGGAUAACCGCAUGAAAGUGUGGCUAAUACGGGAUAUUCUGGGUCUGUCGCAUGAUGGGUCUGGGAAAGAUAUUGUUUCGGUGGGGGAUGGGCUCGCGGCCUAUCAGCUCGUUGGUGGGGUGAUGGCCUACCAAGGCGGUGACGGGUAGCCGGCCUGAGAGGGUGGACGGUCACACUGGGACUGAGACACGGCCCAGACUCCUACGGGAGGCAGCAGUGGGGAAUAUUGCACAAUGGGCGCAAGCCUGAUGCAGCGACGCCGCGUGAGGGAUGGAGGCCUUCGGGUUGUGAACCUCUUUCGCCAGUGAAGCAGGCCUGCCUCGUUUGUGGGUGGGUUGACGGUAGCUGGAGAAGAAGCGCCGGCUAACUACGUG
RNAcentral lists this ribosomal RNA (494 nucleotides) under uncultured bacterium. RNAcentral describes it as "partial 16S ribosomal RNA". It matches the Rfam family "Bacterial small subunit ribosomal RNA", at positions 28 to 507 of the family's 1533-position model. The record is from RNAcentral.